Molecule: ribosomal RNA, 253 nt
Filed under: uncultured Spartobacteria bacterium
Lineage: Bacteria; Pseudomonadati; Verrucomicrobiota; Spartobacteria
Description: partial 16S ribosomal RNA
Rfam family: Bacterial small subunit ribosomal RNA
Source: RNAcentral
UACAGAGGUCUCGAGCGUUGUUCGGAUUUAUUGGGCGUAAAGGGUGCGUAGGCGGUAAGGUAAGUCUGGUGUGAAAUCCUGGGGCUCAACCCCAGAAUUGCACUGGAUACUGCUUUGCUAGAGGACUGGAGAGGAGAUUGGAAUUCACGGUGUAGCAGUGAAAUGCGUAGAUAUCGUGAGGAAGACCAGUGGCGAAGGCGAAUCUCUGGACAGUUCCUGACGCUGAGGCACGAAGGCUAGGGGAGCAAACGGG